CGAAGAUCGGAGGUUAAAUUCCUCCCUAGCGCC
Molecule: transfer RNA, 33 nt
Filed under: Carassius cuvieri (Japanese crucian carp)
Lineage: Eukaryota; Metazoa; Chordata; Actinopteri; Cypriniformes; Cyprinidae
Description: partial tRNA-Thr
Source: RNAcentral